AUAAAGUAGGAAGCACUACUGGCGCAAUGAUGCGGUGUAGUGUUUCAUACUUUAUGG
RNAcentral lists this microRNA precursor (57 nucleotides) under Petromyzon marinus (sea lamprey). Its description in RNAcentral is "Pma-Mir-142-v2_pre stem-loop". Lineage: Eukaryota; Metazoa; Chordata; Hyperoartia; Petromyzontiformes; Petromyzontidae. The record is from RNAcentral.